Molecule: long non-coding RNA, 436 nt
Filed under: Amborella trichopoda
Lineage: Eukaryota; Viridiplantae; Streptophyta; Magnoliopsida; Amborellales; Amborellaceae
Description: long non-coding RNA (ATRI_LNC004075)
Source: RNAcentral
AAAGUGUGGGUCUUUCUGACCCACUCGUAUUACAAAUUUACCAUAGAAGUGUUGUGCAAAAAGCAAGAGGAUUGCAGGUCACGGGAGGCGAUUCCGAACCAGCUAAAGCAGCUGAGGGGCUUUCUUCAUGAUCUAAGAGGGCGCCCACGUGAGCCAGCCCGAGUAAGUCCCUAACCCACCUUCAAUUCCUCUCUCAUCAAUUGGAAUACAUGCCCUUGCUCACGAGCAAGGUUAUGAGAGAGCGAUCUCAAAUCCCAGGUUUGCCAAAAACCUGAGAUACGUGUCUUCUGAUCAUCUAGAUUUGGACGUCGAGAUCGAGACACCGAACCAGCUUGACGACUCCACUGGGGACUUGCUACCCCUUAGUCUGCUCGCUCUUGUUUGACCAGCAUCCUCUUUACCUUCUACAUUAAUUUCUAUGGCACCUGGGUUGUUC